RNAcentral lists this ribosomal RNA (253 nucleotides) under uncultured bacterium. RNAcentral describes it as "partial 16S ribosomal RNA". It matches the Rfam family "Bacterial small subunit ribosomal RNA", at positions 524 to 776 of the family's 1533-position model. The record is from RNAcentral.
UACGUAGGGUGCAAGCGUUGUCCGGAAUUACUGGGCGUAAAGAGUUCGUAGGCGGUUUGUCGCGUCGGGAGUGAAAACUCAGGGCUUAACCCUGAGCCUGCUUCCGAUACGGGCAGACUAGAGGUAUGCAGGGGAGAACGGAAUUCCUGGUGUAGCGGUGAAAUGCGCAGAUAUCAGGAGGAACACCGGUGGCGAAGGCGGUUCUCUGGGCAUUACCUGACGCUGAGGAGCGAAAGUGUGGGGAGCGAACAGG